UAAAUUUCAGCAGGCAGAUUCAUUUUCUGCCACCGAAUACAUUAGCAUGGGAUAAUGGAAUAGGACCCUGUCCUCCUAUUUUCAGUUGGUUUUGGCAGCGCGAGGACUAGGGUAAUGAUUAAUAGGGAUAGUUGGGGGCAUUAAUAUUUAAUUGUCAGAGGUGAAAUUCUUGGAUUUAUGAAAGAUUAACUUCUGCGAAAGCAUCUGCCAAGGAUGUUUUCAUUAAUCAAGAACGAAAGUUAGGGGAUCGAAGACGAUCAGAUACCGUCGUAGUCUUAACCAUAAACGAUGCCGACCAGCGAUUAGGAGACGUUGAAUACAAAACACCACCAUCGGCGCGGUCGUCCUUGGCGCGUUCGUGUUCACGCACGGGCGCGCGAGGGCGGUUUAGCCCGGUGGCACCGGUGAAUGACUCCCCUAGCAGUUUGGAAAAAA
Molecule: ribosomal RNA, 435 nt
Filed under: Acanthamoeba genotype T4
Lineage: Eukaryota; Discosea; Longamoebia; Acanthamoebidae
Description: SSU rRNA
Rfam family: Eukaryotic small subunit ribosomal RNA
Source: RNAcentral